RNAcentral lists this microRNA (19 nucleotides) under Macaca mulatta (Rhesus monkey). RNAcentral's name for it is "mml-miR-558". Its record names the gene mml-miR-558. Lineage: Eukaryota; Metazoa; Chordata; Mammalia; Primates; Cercopithecidae. The record is from miRBase by way of RNAcentral. RNAcentral also lists the same sequence under 3 other names.
UGAGCUGCUGUACCAAAAU